Molecule: transfer RNA, 72 nt
Filed under: Camelus bactrianus (Bactrian camel)
Lineage: Eukaryota; Metazoa; Chordata; Mammalia; Artiodactyla; Camelidae
Also listed under: 2 other names
Rfam family: tRNA
About the family: Transfer RNA (tRNA) molecules are approximately 80 nucleotides in length. Their secondary structure includes four short double-helical elements and three loops (D, anti-codon, and T loops).
Source: Rfam by way of RNAcentral
GAAGGUAUAGGUCAGCGGUAGAGCUCAUGCUUAGCAUGCAUUAGGUCCUGGGUUCAACCCCCAGCACCUCCA